AUGGUUUUUAUUCCCUCAAUGAAUGCUGGGAAAGAAAACGGCGCUGAAAAAACAUAAAGUCUCUACCGUUUCAUUUCGUCGUCAUUCAAUGGAAAUGAACUCGACCAUAAAUUUGCACACCGACUGUUUUUCUUUUCUUGGUGCACUUCAAAUUGAGGAUCCACGAUCUCUUGAGGGUGCGCUUGAAGAAUCUGUCAAAUCCAUUAUAAUCCCAGGCUUUCUGCGUUUUCGCAGCACGCAAUCAAGUUAUUUCAGAAUGCCUACGUGCACCGUAAUGGAACCACGACCGCAAGUACGAGACUUCCAAAAUGGGGAAGUAAAAUUCAAAGUCUUGGAACCUGGCGUUCCCAAGAGUCCCUCAUGUCAACUAGCCGGCGAAGCUCUCCGAACAAAUUCAUGUACUUGCAUUAAAGGUUUAAAUUUAUGUCUACUUCGCAUUUUCGGAACCAAACAUAUUGAGGGCUUUUGUUUAUACACUUAUCACAAGUGAUGCUAUUUUUUCGUUCAAAAGUUGAUUGGCAGGAAGCAUGAAAUCUUUUUGUCACCAAAAUAAAUUGAAAGAGGGUAUAUUUUCGUUGAAAAUGUUAUAGUUUUUUUGGAUUAGAUGUUUCAGAUAUCUCUUCUUUGUAGUUAACUUGGAUGGCACAAGUGUCUUUUUCAAGGUAAGUUUUAAAGUUGAAAUCAGUUGGUGGACUCUUAACCUAUACAGAUUCUGCUACUUUUGUUAGUAAGUUUAAGUUCAAUAAUCAUCAUGUAACUUAUUUAGAUGAACUGCAUUUGACAAUUUGAUCGUAAUAUCAACAACGUUCUUUACAAAUUUCAGGCAUCUUGGAAAACGGCAGAUAAUUACAUUGAUCUUCCAAGGGAGCAACUCGAUAAACAUGGUGGAGUUUUUAAUUUUAAGUAAUCUAAUCUAUUAAGAGAUGGCUAGGGAUAUGCUUCUUACCGGAAUGGCUUAAAAGUUAAAAGUGAUGUCUAUUCUAUUUGCAAUCCUUUAUGUUUUGAAUAUACUCAUUUGCAUGUCUAUUUAUAAACUAUUCAAAUGCUCAAGCAAUCUAAAGGGGUUUCAACUACUUAUGUUGUGUACAGAGGGGCUAAUCAUACUACUACAUAUUACUGCAUUGGUAAUUGUCUGCCCAACAACAAUAUUAUGUGCAGAAGAUUGAACAAUAAGAAUAUUUGACAUUGUAUUCUCUUCUUCCUUUUUUUGGGUCAAGGGUAAAAUGUAACAUUUCUAGAAUUUUGGUCAGCUCUCCACUACAUGAAAUACUUGACGAAAGUGGUCUCUUCUGUUUUGGGGUUUAUUGUAACUUAACAUUUUUCUUUAACUUUGGUUAUUUGAAGAUUCUGAACUUCUGAACAUACCUUUUGUAUGGAAAUAAACUAAGGAUUUUUUUGUGUGCUAAUAAUAAAUUACCUGAAA
RNA transcript from Papaver somniferum (opium poppy), 1423 nucleotides. RefSeq lists it as uncharacterized. The transcript has 5 exons. The record is from RefSeq and is a predicted model, not a curated record. Lineage: Eukaryota; Viridiplantae; Streptophyta; Magnoliopsida; Ranunculales; Papaveraceae.